Long non-coding RNA from Mytilus trossulus (common blue mussel), 236 nucleotides. RefSeq lists it as uncharacterized. The record is from RefSeq and is a predicted model, not a curated record. The transcript has 3 exons. Lineage: Eukaryota; Metazoa; Mollusca; Bivalvia; Mytilida; Mytilidae.
AUUUUUUUCCUGUUUCCAAAGAGACAUUAAGAGGAAUUCUUUGACGAAUUUGCCACGUGAUCUGUUGUCCUCUAAUGUUGCCUUGACAAUGAUAAAUCUCAAUGAUAAUAACCUAGAUAGUUUACCAGAGAAUAUUUUCGCUAACAACUUGAAUUUACAGAGACUGCAUGUGACAGGGAAUAUGUUAACCAACCUUUCUGACAAUGUGUUUUCAAACAACAAAAAUUUGGAGUCGG